UGAUGGUUGAAUUUUCAGUUGAAGGAGGUGCAUCGUGGAGCUUCCACACAUUCUCUUCCUUUGUAUCCGCCUAAUCUUAUAACUUUUAUGACAUCCACCAAUGGCAUGUGGAAUUGUGUUCAUUGAUGGGGAUUCCAAAGUUUUUUCAACAAGUGACGAGAUUUUGUUUC
Molecule: long non-coding RNA, 170 nt
Organism: Musa acuminata subsp. malaccensis (wild Malaysian banana)
Lineage: Eukaryota; Viridiplantae; Streptophyta; Magnoliopsida; Zingiberales; Musaceae
Source: RefSeq, a predicted model, not a curated record